This 519-nucleotide ribosomal RNA is filed under the name Meyerozyma guilliermondii. Its description in RNAcentral is "eukaryotic LSU rRNA". It matches the Rfam family "Eukaryotic large subunit ribosomal RNA", at positions 121 to 656 of the family's 3401-position model. Lineage: Eukaryota; Fungi; Ascomycota; Pichiomycetes; Serinales; Debaryomycetaceae. The record is from RNAcentral.
UCUGGCACCUUCGGUGUCCGAGUUGUAAUUUGAAGAUUGUAACCUUGGGGUUGGCUCUUGUCUAUGUUUCUUGGAACAGGACGUCACAGAGGGUGAGAAUCCCGUGCGAUGAGAUGCCCAAUCCUAUGUAAGGUGCUUUCGAAGAGUCGAGUUGUUUGGGAAUGCAGCUCUAAGUGGGUGGUAAAUUCCAUCUAAAGCUAAAUAUUGGCGAGAGACCGAUAGCGAACAAGUACAGUGAUGGAAAGAUGAAAAGAACUUUGAAAAGAGAGUGAAAAAGUACGUGAAAUUGUUGAAAGGGAAGGGUUUGAGAUCAGACUCGAUAUUUUGUGAGCCUUGCCUUCGUGGCGGGGUGACCCGCAGCUUAUCGGGCCAGCAUCGGUUUGGGCGGUAGGAUAAUGGCGUAGGAAUGUGACUUUGCUUCGGUGAAGUGUUAUAGCCUGCGUUGAUGCUGCCUGCCUAGACCGAGGACUGCGAUUUUAUCAAGGAUGCUGGCAUAAUGAUCCCAAACCGCCCGUCUUG